This 806-nucleotide unclassified non-coding RNA is filed under the name Ctenophora sp. (in: diatoms). RNAcentral describes it as "Ctenophora sp. (in: Bacillariophyta) sequence contains 18S rRNA gene, ITS1, 5.8S rRNA gene". Lineage: Eukaryota; Bacillariophyta; Fragilariophyceae; Fragilariales; Fragilariaceae. The record is from RNAcentral.
GUAGUCUCGCCUGAUCUGAGGUCUUGGUUGGUCGAACGGAUCUUUCCCGAGAGAGAGAAACGUUCCCUUUCCAGUCGUCCCACUGAGAAGGCAUCGGACACCUGCGAAACUCGGCUGCUCGGUGAGAUAUUACUACCACACCGAGAAGCACGGGCCACGAAGGGCUUCCGCACGACUCGGGAUCGCUCUACUUCAAGGGACCGUUCGCUUUGCAGCAAAGGGACACCUCAUUGCCCAAACCCUCGGGGAGGUUUGAUGUGAGAAACGACGCUCAGACAGACGUGCUCCUGGGAAUGCCCAAGAGCGCCAUUUGCGUUCAAAGAUUCGAUGAUUCACUAAAUUCUGCAAUUCACAUUACUUAUCGCAGUUUGCUGCGUUCUUCAUCGAUACACGAGCCAAGAGAUCCACCGUUUAAAGUUGUUCGCUUUUAAGUAACUCUCGUUCGGACGGAUCCGACCGAGGAAUCGAUACGUUAAGUCAUUGAGGUUUGAAACGUGGGUAAAAAACUAAUUCGGGGCUCGCCUAGCAGACCGAAGUCCACCGUACCCACUGACGAUUUAACGAUCGGGGAGAGUUUUUACGUCUCCUCGACCGACCCCGAAGAACAGCAUCAAUUGAAACCGCUAAGGCAAGUAAGAUUGGAUUCGUUAAUGAUCCUUCCGCAGGUUCACCUACGGAAACCUUGUUACGACUUUUACUUCCUCUAAAUGAUCAAGUUUGAGCAAGUUCUCGGCGGCACCGUGCCUCGCGGCAUGGCGUCGCCAAUCUCGAGAUCUCACUAAACCAUUCAAUCGGUAGUAGCGACG